GAUGAAGAACGUAGUGAAAUGCGAUAAGUAGUGUGAAUUGCAGAAUUCAGUGAAUCAUCGAGUCUUUGAACGCACAUUGCGCCCCUUGGUAUUCCAUGGGGCAUGCCUGUUCGAGCGUCAUUUGUACCUUCAAGCUUUGCUUGGUGUUGGGUGUUUGUCCCUCGGGACUCGCCUUAAAGUCAUUGGCAGCCAGUGUUUUGGUUUUGAAGCGCAGCACAAGUCGCGAUUCAAGGCUAUCCGCCCGCUUCCACAAGCCUUUUUCACUUUUGACCUCGGAUCAGGUAGGGAUACCCGCUGAACUUAAGCAUAUCAAUAAGCGGAGGA
RNAcentral lists this unclassified non-coding RNA (324 nucleotides) under soil metagenome. RNAcentral describes it as "partial contains 5.8S ribosomal RNA, internal transcribed spacer 2, and large subunit ribosomal RNA". The stretch from base 1 to 120 matches the Rfam family "5.8S ribosomal RNA", at positions 35 to 154 of the family's 154-position model. The record is from RNAcentral.